UCUGUCUUCCAUCGUACUUCAUAGAGCGAACUGACUUUUCUCCUUCUUUUUCUUGGGUUCUUAAAGCUUAUUUUACUUUUUUCUCUAUUUUUUUUCUCACUUUCUACUCAAUUUUUCUUCUCCCAAAGCUUAUUCCCAGACCUCCUAUUUAUAGAUGAAUUUUUCAUAAUUUUUUGAUAGAAAAAGGAGUCCUAAAACCUUUAGAAAUCAUAUUAAUCCCCUUAGGAAUAUUUUUGGCUGUCGGAUGGAGCUUGGACAGCUCAGAUUUGAUCAAAAAUCAAUCAUUUUAAUCCUUAUCAAAGUC
This 304-nucleotide long non-coding RNA is filed under the name Elaeis guineensis (African oil palm). Its description in RNAcentral is "long non-coding RNA (EGUI_LNC067487)". Lineage: Eukaryota; Viridiplantae; Streptophyta; Magnoliopsida; Arecales; Arecaceae. The record is from RNAcentral.